RNAcentral lists this ribosomal RNA (253 nucleotides) under uncultured bacterium. Its description in RNAcentral is "partial 16S ribosomal RNA". It matches the Rfam family "Bacterial small subunit ribosomal RNA", at positions 524 to 776 of the family's 1533-position model. The record is from RNAcentral.
UACGGGGGGGGCUAGCGUUGCUCGGAAUCACUGGGCGUAAAGCGCACGUAGGCGGAUUGCUAAGUCAGGGGUGAAAUCCUGGAGCUCAACUCCAGAACUGCCUUUGAUACUGGCGACCUUGAGUCCGGGAGAGGUGAGUGGAACUGCGAGUGUAGAGGUGAAAUUCGUAGAUAUUCGCAAGAACACCAGUGGCGAAGGCGGCUCACUGGCCCGGUACUGACGCUGAGGUGCGAAAGCGUGGGGAGCAAACAGG